Non-coding RNA from Pelobates cultripes (western spadefoot toad), 1807 nucleotides. The record is from the annotation of a GenBank genome assembly. NCBI's taxonomy places the organism in Eukaryota, Metazoa, Chordata, Amphibia, Anura, Pelobatidae.
CUAGCGAGUACUAACAUAUGGGUAACCCAUUAACUAGAGCUCAAAAUUUCACAUACUGAAUUACUAGCCCGACUUUAAAAGUUACUCGUCACCAUAAGCUCAUGAUUUAUUUAAAUUUAGUUUUGGUGGUUACAUGGAAUGUCAAUAUGUUCAUUAAUGUAUUGUAUAUAUGGUGCGAAUGCAGUGUGUGAAUAAAGAGCUAGAUUUAAGUGGACAGGCAUUUGGUGUGUACAUAUAUUUGUGAUGGCUCACUCGGUACAAGACAUGUGACGGCAAGGGAGCUGUAUAAAGGUAAGCAUAUAAUGAGUGCUCUCUCAAUAUAAAGGUGUUGUGGUGUUUGUAUUGUCCUGUCUGUAAAAUAAAUUUGAAGAAUCUGACUGUAGUUAUAUGUGGAGUGUGUGUUUAAAGUACAUAUAGUAAUUGACCAUCAACACUACCCACUCUGGAGUAGUCCUUUACACUUGAAAAGUUAGAUGACUGAUGAGGACACAUUCCAUCGUUCAUGCUGUAACCUCUUUCCCUGUGUAAUCUUUCUGCACUACUAGGUUACAGGGCAGAGGGAACAAGAGCAAGCAGAACUUAUGAUCACAGGCAGAGGGGUGAGUAAAAGUACAGUAUAGAGGCUGCUCUGUUUCCUAAUCAAUAUAUAAAGCUUAAAAGAACACAAACAUUAAUAAAACAUGUUUGUAUUCUAACUGUUCUGAGACCCACAUGUGAAGGUUUGAAAGGUAUUACUUAACAUUCAAACCAAAAAAAAAAAAAAAAUCUAGAUAGUACUUGUGCUCCCACAUAACGUGCCGGUAUCUGGGUCAGCGCUAAAGACCCAAAAUCACAUAAUACAAAAAUACCAAAGGAUACCACACUCAAAUUGGAAGGAAUGAUAAUUAAAUUAAAAUUUAUUAACACGGCUUAAUAAAAUUAGAUAAAGUAUUAGUCUAUCCCAUACAAUGUUAGAUAUACGUUGCAAGGCAAUGAUUUCCCCGCCAUAAUAGUGCAAAAGGAAACUAAAGUGCUAAGUGCCUAAUCACCAUAAAUACAGCCUGACCAGUACAUUAUAGUAGGUUAUUCACUGUCUCGCCUCCCUGCUUUCAGCUGAGCUCUUCAGGUGGGGACUCCCAGAAAAUACAACACACUGCCUGCCAAUGAUCUUUUGUAAGAGGGUAAAGGGACACUAUAGUCACCAGAACAACUACAGCUUAUUGAAUUGGUUCUGAUGAGUAGAAUCAUUACCUUCAGGCUUUUUGCUGUAAACACUGUCUUUUCAGAGAAAAAAGACAGUGUUUACACUACAGCCUAGUGAUAACACCACUAGCCACUCCUCAGAUAGCUGCUAGAGAUGCUUCCUGGGUCAUGGCUGCCUAAAAUGCAUCCAAACAUUCAGUGUCUCCUCCCUCUGCAUGCAGACACUAAACUUUCCUCAUAGAGAUUCACUGAUUCAAUUCAUCUCUAUGAGGAGAUGCUGAUUGGCCAGGGCUGUGUUUGAAUUGUGCUGGAGGGCCUCACAUAGCGUGAGGGCAUCCGGCGUAGUUUAAAACACUUUUCGUGUUUUAAGAACACAGAAGUCCCUCUAGUGGCUGUCGGAUAGACAGCCACUAGAGGAGGACUUAACCCUGCAAGGUAAAUAUUGCAGUUUAUAAAAACGACAAUAAUUACACUUGCAGGGUUAAGAGUGGUGGGAGUUGGCACCCAGACCACUCCAAUGGGCAGAAGUGGUCUGGAUGCCUGGAGUGUCCCUUUAAAUCUCGAGCGCGCAGCCCCGGAUCUGCCUGUCUCGAUCCUGCUAUGACAAGAUCAUACUACCGUUACA